Molecule: ribosomal RNA, 559 nt
Filed under: uncultured bacterium
Lineage: Bacteria
Description: partial 16S ribosomal RNA
Rfam family: Bacterial small subunit ribosomal RNA
Source: RNAcentral
UGGGGAAUUUUGGACAAUGGGGGAAACCCUGAUCCAGCCAUCCCGCGUGUGCGAUGAAGGCCUUCGGGUUGUAAAGCACUUUUGGCAGGAAAGAAACGUCGCGGGUUAAUACCCCGCGAAACUGACGGUACCUGCAGAAUAAGCACCGGCUAACUACGUGCCAGCAGCCGCGGUAAUACGUAGGGUGCAAGCGUUAAUCGGAAUUACUGGGCGUAAAGCGUGCGCAGGCGGUUCGGAAAGAAAGAUGUGAAAUCCCAGAGCUUAACUUUGGAACUGCAUUUUUUAACUACCGGGCUAGAGUGUGUCAGAGGGAGGUGGAAUUCCGCGUGUAGCAGUGAAAUGCGUAGAUAUGCGGAGGAACACCGAUGGCGAAGGCAGCCUCCUGGGAUAACACUGACGCUCAUGCACGAAAGCGUGGGGAGCAAACAGGAUUAGAUACCCUGGUAGUCCACGCCCUAAACGAUGUCAACUAGCUGUUGGGGCCUUCGGGCCUUGGUAGCGCAGCUAACGCGUGGAGUUGACCGCCUGGGGAGUACGGUCGCAAGAUUAAAACUCAAAU